UAGGGAAUCUUCCACAAUGGACGCAAGUCUGAUGGAGCAACGCCGCGUGAGUGAAGAAGGGUUUCGGCUCGUAAAGCUCUGUUGUUGGUGAAGAAGGACAGGGGUAGUAACUGACCUUUGUUUGACGGUAAUCAAUUAGAAAGUCACGGCUAACUACGUGCCAGCAGCCGCGGUAAUACGUAGGUGGCAAGCGUUGUCCGGAUUUAUUGGGCGUAAAGCGAGUGCAGGCGGCUCGAUAAGUCUGAUGUGAAAGCCUUCGGCUCAACCGGAGAAUUGCAUCAGAAACUGUCGAGCUUGAGUACAGAAGAGGAGAGUGGAACUCCAUGUGUAGCGGUGAAAUGCGUAGAUAUAUGGAAGAACACCGGUGGCGAAGGCGGCUCUCUGGUCUGUUACUGACGCU
This 400-nucleotide ribosomal RNA is filed under the name uncultured bacterium. RNAcentral describes it as "bacterial SSU rRNA". It matches the Rfam family "Bacterial small subunit ribosomal RNA", at positions 355 to 747 of the family's 1533-position model. The record is from RNAcentral.